This 369-nucleotide ribosomal RNA is filed under the name uncultured bacterium. RNAcentral's name for it is "bacterial SSU rRNA". It matches the Rfam family "Bacterial small subunit ribosomal RNA", at positions 527 to 896 of the family's 1533-position model. The record is from RNAcentral.
GUAGGGUGCAAGCGUUAAUCGGAAUUACUGGGCGUAAAGCGCGCGCAGGCGGCUUUGCAAGACAGAUGUGAAAUCCCCGGGCUCAACCUGGGAACUGCAUUUGUGACUGCAAGGCUGGAGUACGGCAGAGGGGGAUGGAAUUCCGCGUGUAGCAGUGAAAUGCGUAGAUAUGCGGAGGAACACCGAUGGCGAAGGCAAUCCCCUGGGCCUGUACUGACGCUCAUGCACGAAAGCGUGGGGAGCAAACAGGAUUAGAUACCCUGGUAGUCCACGCCCUAAACGAUGUCAACUGGUUGUUGGGAGGGUUUCUUCUCAGUAACGAAGCUAACGCGUGAAGUUGACCGCCUGGGGAGUACCGCCGCAAGGUUG